UGAGGAAUAUUGGGCAAUGCCCGCAAGGGUGACCCAGCAACGCCGCGUGGAGGAUGAAUGUCGUAAGAUUGUCAACUCCUGUUAGAGGGGAAGAAUAGUACCGGUUGGACCGGUAUAUGACUGUACCCUCAGAGAAAGCCCCGGCUAACUACGUGCCAGCAGCUGCGGUAAUACGUAGGGGGCAAGCGUUGUCCGGAUUUACUGGGUGUAAAGGGCGCGCAGGCGGGAUAAAAAGUCAGUGGUGAAAUCCUACAGCUUAACUGUAGAACUGCCUUUGAUACUUUUAUUCUUGAGUUCAGGAGAGAGAGACGGAAUUCCAGGUGUAGUGGUGAAAUACGUAGAUAUCUGGAAGAACACCAGUUGCGAAGGCGGUCUCUUGGUCCGACACUGACGCUGAGGCGCGAAAGCGUGGGGAGCAAACA
Molecule: ribosomal RNA, 422 nt
Filed under: uncultured bacterium
Lineage: Bacteria
Description: bacterial SSU rRNA
Rfam family: Bacterial small subunit ribosomal RNA
Source: RNAcentral